UACGUAGGGUGCAAGCGUUAAUCGGAAUUACUGGGCGUAAAGCGUGCGCAGGCGGUUAUGCAAGACAGAUGUGAAAUCCCCGGGCUCAACCUGGGAACUGCAUUUGUGACUGCAUGGCUAGAGUACGGUAGAGGGGGAUGGAAUUCCGCGUGUAGCAGUGAAAUGCGUAGAUAUGCGGAGGAACACCGAUGGCGAAGGCAAUCCCCUGGACCUGUACUGACGCUCAUGCACGAAAGCGUGGGGAGCAACAGG
RNAcentral lists this ribosomal RNA (252 nucleotides) under uncultured bacterium. RNAcentral's name for it is "partial 16S ribosomal RNA". It matches the Rfam family "Bacterial small subunit ribosomal RNA", at positions 524 to 775 of the family's 1533-position model. The record is from RNAcentral.